This 429-nucleotide ribosomal RNA is filed under the name Chloroflexota bacterium. RNAcentral's name for it is "Chloroflexi bacterium partial 16S ribosomal RNA". It matches the Rfam family "Bacterial small subunit ribosomal RNA", at positions 355 to 776 of the family's 1533-position model. The record is from RNAcentral. Lineage: Bacteria; Bacillati; Chloroflexota.
UGGGGAAUAUUGCACAAUGGGCGCAAGCCUGAUGCAGCCAUGCCGCGUGUAUGAAGAAGGCCUUCGGGUUGUAAAGUACUUUCAGCGGGGAGGAAGGGAGUAAAGUUAAUACCUUUGCUCAUUGACGUUACCCGCAGAAGAAGCCCCGGCUAACUCCGUGCCAGCAGCCGCGGUAAUACGGAGGGUGCAAGCGUUAAUCGGAAUUACUGGGCGUAAAGCGCACGCAGGCGGUUUGUUAAGUCAGAUGUGAAAUCCCCGGGCUCAACCUGGGAACUGCAUCUGAUACUUGCAAGCUUGAGUCUCGUAGAGGGGGGUAGAAUUCCAGGUGUAGCGGUGAAAUGCGUAGAGAUCUGGAGGAAUACCGGUGGCGAAGGCGGCCCCCUGGACGAAGACUGACGCUCAGGUGCGAAAGCGUGGGGAGCAAACAGG